CCAACGGCCCUCUUUAGGGCCACAAACAAACAAACCAAGCUCAGU
This is a non-coding RNA of Toxocara canis (dog roundworm), 45 nucleotides long. NCBI's taxonomy places the organism in Eukaryota, Metazoa, Nematoda, Chromadorea, Rhabditida, Toxocaridae. The record is from Rfam.